GAGCCGUUAGCUCAACCGGUUAGAGCAUCUGCCUUUUAAGCAGAGGGUCGCUGGUUCGACUCCAGCACGGCUCA
Molecule: transfer RNA, 74 nt
Filed under: Candidatus Wallbacteria bacterium
Lineage: Bacteria; Candidatus Walliibacteriota
Description: tRNA-Lys
Rfam family: tRNA
About the family: Transfer RNA (tRNA) molecules are approximately 80 nucleotides in length. Their secondary structure includes four short double-helical elements and three loops (D, anti-codon, and T loops). Further hydrogen bonds mediate the characteristic L-shaped molecular structure. tRNAs have two regions of fundamental functional importance: the anti-codon, which is responsible for specific mRNA codon recognition, and the 3' end, to which the tRNAs corresponding amino acid is attached (by aminoacyl-tRNA synthetases). tRNAs cope with the degeneracy of the genetic code in two manners: having more than one tRNA (with a specific anti-codon) for a particular amino acid; and 'wobble' base-pairing, i.e. permitting non-standard base-pairing at the 3rd anti-codon position.
Source: RNAcentral